AGAGUUUGAUCAUGGCUCAGGACGAACGCUGGCGGCGUGCUUAAUACAUGCAAGUCGAGCGAGGUUACUGUUUUGGAUCCCUUCGGGGUGAAGAAGCUUUAACCUAGCGGCGGACGGGUGAGUAACGCGUGGGUAACCUACCCCAAAGUCCGGGAUAACAGCGGGAAACCGCUGCUAAUACCGGAUGCCUUUACCUUGGGGCAUCUUGAGGUAAAGAAAGGUAACGCUUUGGGAUGGGCCCGCGUCCCAUUAGCUAGUUGGUGAGGUAACGGCUCACCAAGGCGACGAUGGGUAGCCGGCCUGAGAGGGUGGACGGCCACACUGGGACUGAGACACGGCCCAGACUCCUACGGGAGGCAGCAGUAGGGAAUAUUGCGCAAUGGACGGAAGUCUGACGCAGCGACGCCGCGUGAGCGAUGAAGGUCUUCGGAUCGUAAAGCUCUGUCCUUGGGGAAGAAGGCGAAAGCUUGACGGUACCCAAGAAGAAAGCCCCGGCUAACUACGUGCCAGCAGCCGCGGUAAUACGUAGGGGGCGAGCGUUGUCCGGAAUUACUGGGCGUAAAGGGUGCGUAGGCGGCCCUUUAAGUCGGAUGUGAAAGCCCGCGGCUUAACCGCGGAAUGGCAUUCGAAACUGGAGGGCUUGAGUGUCGGAGAGGGUAGUGGAAUUCCCAGUGUAGCGGUGAAAUGCGUAGAUAUUGGGAGGAACACCAGUGGCGAAGGCGACUACCUGGACGAUAACUGACGCUGAGGCACGAAAGCUAGGGGAGCAAACAGGAUUAGAUACCCUGGUAGUCCUAGCCGUAAACGAUGGGUACUAGGUGUGGGUGGUUUCGAUACCAUCCGUGCCGUAGUUAACGCAUUAAGUACCCCGCCUGGGGAGUACGUGCGCAAGCAUGAAACUCAAAUGAAUUGACGG
RNAcentral lists this ribosomal RNA (916 nucleotides) under uncultured bacterium. RNAcentral describes it as "bacterial SSU rRNA". It matches the Rfam family "Bacterial small subunit ribosomal RNA", at positions 8 to 916 of the family's 1533-position model. The record is from RNAcentral.